UACGGAGGGUGCAAGCGUUAUCCGGAUUUACUGGGUUUAAAGGGUGUGUAGGCGGGUUUUUAAGUCAGUGGUGAAAUCUCCGAGCUUAACUUGGAAACUGCCAUUGAUACUAUUGAUCUUGAAUUCUGUUGAGGUGGGCGGAAUAUGUCAUGUAGCGGUGAAAUGCAUAGAUAUGACAUAGAACACCAAUUGCGAAGGCAGCUCACUAAGCAGAUAUUGACGCUGAGGCACGAAAGCGUGGGGAUCAAACAGG
RNAcentral lists this ribosomal RNA (253 nucleotides) under uncultured bacterium. RNAcentral's name for it is "partial 16S ribosomal RNA". It matches the Rfam family "Bacterial small subunit ribosomal RNA", at positions 524 to 776 of the family's 1533-position model. The record is from RNAcentral.